AUUGAACGCUGGCGGCAUGCCUUACACAUGCAAGUCGAACGGCAGCACGGGAGUAAUCCUGGUGGCGAGUGGCGAACGGGUGAGUAAUGUAUCGGAACGUGCCCAGUCGUGGGGGAAACGUAGCGAAAGCUACGCUAAUACCGCAUACGAUCUAUGGAUGAAAGCGGGGGAUCGCAAGACCUCGCGCGAUUGGAGCGGCCGAUAUCAGAUUAGGUAGUUGGUGGGGUAAAGGCUCACCAAGCCGACGAUCUGUAGCUGGUCUGAGAGGACGACCAGCCACACCGGGACUGAGACACGGCCCAGACUCCUACGGGAGUCAGCAGUGGGGAAUUUUGGACAAUGGGCGCAAGCCUGAGCCAGCAAUGCCGCGUGCAGGAUGAAGGCCUUCGGGUUGUAAACUGCUUCUGUACGGAACGAAACGGCGAGCUCUAAUACAGUUUGCUAAUGACGGUACCGUAAGAAUAAGCACCGGCUAACUACGUGCCAGCCGCCGCCGUAA
RNAcentral lists this ribosomal RNA (499 nucleotides) under uncultured bacterium. RNAcentral describes it as "partial 16S ribosomal RNA". It matches the Rfam family "Bacterial small subunit ribosomal RNA", at positions 30 to 523 of the family's 1533-position model. The record is from RNAcentral.